GGUUUUCUGACCUACUCUUUUGAGCAUAGGAUCUUUGCGUGGCAUUCCACUUUCCUAGAAGUGACUGAGUUUCAGUGGCAAAAAGAUAUAUUAAGCAUUCAGGAUACUCUGAGUUGUGCCCGUCCUCAUAUAUAGUUACCGGGGCUGGCAGGUUAGAGUAAGCUGAGUGGUAUUAAGGUCAGUAUGUGGUAACUGAGAACAUGAUCCAACAGCUGUCAAACACAUCUUUUUCAUUUGGUGGGGGGAAGGGGGCUCCUGCUGAAUUCAGUGAGGUUUCCAACUAUGAUGUGAUAGCGGUAGUUACAUACUUAGCCUAUUUAAUCUUCUUGUAUUUUUAGUAUAAUACUUCCCCUCUUGAACGCACCCAUAAAAUCUACUUGUUCUCUCUCUCCAUUUCAAUAUAUGGCUUUAAUUUUUAAUCUUUUCUCCGAUGACUCCCUUUUAAAUUGAAACCAGACAUUAUUGUGUGUAUUUAUUUCAUGCCUUUGGUGAUCUUUGAAGACUCAGUAAGAAUUACAUUCUGUGCUUCUCUUUUCCUCUUACUUUUAAUCUAUCAGUCUAUGGUCAGUCAUUCUUCACAACCAUUACUACAACCCUUUCUUGUCAAUUUGUCCUGAACAUGAGGUGACUUAUUCAAUUAUCCCUCUUCCGAUUCAAGUUUUCUCAUCCACGUAAUCAAGACAAGCUGACCAGCAGAUGGGAAAUAGCUACCUCCACGACUUCAACACAGGCUUUUCUCUUUGUCCCUUCACUACCUGGAAGGCUGUAACUAAAUGAGUGUGAAAUCCUCAAAAAAUUGUCCAAAAAACUGUCUGUAACUGAUAACAGCUUUGUUUCCUCUUUGUCAUUUGCAGGUAUUUAUGUUCUCCCAUGGCAACACAGAUCUGCUGGUCACGAAACACCUACAGAUGUCAUUCUGAAACUGCCCAGCCUUUAAGAUGGCUGUAAACUCCAGGUUGGACAAUUUUCAGCACCGUUUCCAGAAUGUUCAAGCUGCUGGCUGCAUUGAGACUGGAAGUCCUCUGGAAAAAGCACUGCGGCAUCCCUCGGCCAUCGGUGGCAGUGAUACGGAGCGGGUGAGCCACGCAAAUCAUUUUGGAACAGGAGAUGAGGCAAGGUGGAAGCAAAAAACCAUAAGCAUUUUUUCAGAACUGCUGCUUGAAAAGAUUUUAAGAACCCUUUUGGGUUUUGGCAUCCUUUUUAAAAAAAAAAAAAAAAAAAAAGGAACUGCACAAAAAUUAGUCACCAAACUUACAGAAAGGAAUGACAGUCACAAAACAGGACCAGAGGCAGUUGUGAUAUUAGCAACCACCCCUUCGACACGGUGGUUACGUAGGCAUUGA
Molecule: long non-coding RNA, 1343 nt
Filed under: Anas platyrhynchos platyrhynchos (common mallard)
Lineage: Eukaryota; Metazoa; Chordata; Aves; Anseriformes; Anatidae
Description: lncRNA (ENSAPLG00000019531.1)
Source: RNAcentral